CGUGUAGGCGGCUUGGUAAGUCAGAUGUGAAAGCCCUGGGCUUAACCCAGGAAGUGCAUUUGAAACUGUCAGGCUUGAGUAGGGGAGAGGAAGGUGGAAUUCCUGGUGUAGAGGUGAAAUUCGUAGAUAUCGGGAGGAACACCGGUGGCGAAGGCGACCUUCUGGCCCUAUACUGACGCUGAGACGCGAAAGCGUGGGUAGCAAACAGGAUUAGAUACCCUGGUAGUCCACGCCGUAAACGAUGUUCACUAGGUGUUGGGAGUAUUGACCCUCUCAGUGCCGAAGCUAACGUAUUAAGUGAACCGCCUGGGGAUUACGGCCGCAAGGCUAAA
RNAcentral lists this ribosomal RNA (332 nucleotides) under uncultured bacterium. Its description in RNAcentral is "bacterial SSU rRNA". It matches the Rfam family "Bacterial small subunit ribosomal RNA", at positions 568 to 898 of the family's 1533-position model. The record is from RNAcentral.